UUCCGUAGGUGAACCUGCGGAAGGAUCAUUGUCGAAACCUGCCCCCAAAGCAGAACGACCCGCGAACAUGUUCAAAUCACAUUCUUUAAGUCCGUCCCCGGACGAACUCGUUCGCUCGGUGGACGGCGCCUAACGAACCCCGGCGCGAACCGCGCCAAGGAAUACAUGAUCAUAAGCUCGAAAGAAGAAAGUGAAGUUGAGGAGUGUCGUCGCUCCUUCCUUCCUUCCUUCCUUCCGAGUGAAAAACACAAAACGACUCUCGACAACGGAUAUCUCGGCUCUCGCAUCGAUGAAGAACGUAGCAAAAUGCGAUACUUGGUGUGAAUUGCAGAAUCCCGUGAACCAUCGAGUCUUUGAACGCAAGUUGCGCCCGAAGCCUUUAGGCCGAGGGCACGUCUGCCUGGGCGUCACGCAUCGCGUCGCCCCCCGCCCACACCAUGGCAUACUUGUUUUUGGUUGGUUUGGGGAGCGGAUAUUGGCCUCCCGUGCCCCUCGCGGGCGCGGCUGGCUCAAAACGGAGUCCCCGACUGAGGACGCACGACAAGUGGUGGUUUGGUUUAUCUCAAAACUCGUCCAGUCGCGCGCAAGUCCCGCGUCGGUGUCGGCUCGAAACGACCCURUUAGCGCUGCCCGCUCCGUCCGAGAGGACGAAACCGAUCGGCGCAUCGACCGCGACCCCAGGUCAGGCGGGACUACCCGC
Molecule: small RNA, 700 nt
Filed under: Lysipomia laciniata
Lineage: Eukaryota; Viridiplantae; Streptophyta; Magnoliopsida; Asterales; Campanulaceae
Description: eukaryotic LSU rRNA
Rfam family: 5.8S ribosomal RNA (bases 255-410)
Source: RNAcentral